This 200-nucleotide unclassified non-coding RNA is filed under the name uncultured fungus. RNAcentral describes it as "sequence contains ITS1". The record is from RNAcentral. Lineage: Eukaryota; Fungi.
UUAACGAUUAAGAUCGUACUCGGACGACACGAUUAUGAUCAGGGUUAAAGGGCCUUCGGCGGGCGCACACCAACGAAUCGCCGGUGGCCACGGGGGACGACCCGCCAAAGCAACGCUGGUAAGGUAAACAGGGUGGGAGAUCUACCCCCGGAGGGGGCAUGAACUCGAUAAUGAUCCUUCCGCAGGUUCACCUACGGAAA